UUCCGAGUUGUGGUGCAAAUGCUGUGGAACAACUGAUUGCAGAUAAAAUGAGGUCCUAUAUAUGAAUUGCUGCUUUGGCUGUAUACAACCAUAUAUGCUGCUGCGCUGACAGCUACUGGAGGAGUAAAACUUAUUCUUUGGCUUUAUUGCAGAAGCUGUGAGGAGUUAUUGGCUGUGUUGCUAACUGGCCCCAAAAGAAAAAGAUGGUGGUUCAAUUUGGGCAGCCCAUCAAGCGCUAGUGGACCAAGGAUACACCAGCCCGUUAUCCUUCCACUGCAGAGAGGAGGAGGUUAUCGCUGCUCUGUGAAGCCAGCCUCACGCGGUGCCCUCCAAUCUAAGAGCCGUGAAGCCUCCGCCUUCGAAGAGAAUCCACAGCACAACUCACCACUUGGAACGGGCAGGCCAGUAGAGAGCAACCCAAGCCCAGCCUUCAGGGCAAGUCCAACUGUUCCAGCAUCUCAAAGCUCCCACUGGGGUUAUAGGCUCGCGCUACCAAGCCCAGCGAGCAGUUCUUCAAACUACGGCCUUAUUAAGAGAAAAUAUUUGUGCUCUAUUUUCGAUGUGGGAAAUUGUUCGAAGACAUGCUUGGCUUUCAUAGCAAAAAGUGGAGCAGAGAAGUGUCUGUGUGUAUGGGUUUUGUCAGCCAUGAGAUUUGCGUUGUAUAGAUUGGUGAAUGUUUGAGAUGUAUGCUAUAGCCAUUAUAGAUUGGAGUAUCAUAUCAAAAGCUCAUCUUGCCCAAAGAUGAGAACUGGAAAUAAUCAGCAGUGGAUUUUUUCCGUCUUCAUCGUCAGCAAAUUGAAGAAGCUGACAUUGCAGGAUUGUCAGCAGCCCUCAUGGAUUCAAGGUAAAGUUGGUAAUUGAGGAGAUUGAGAGAGAAGAAGCAUCUUUGCACGAAGAUUUACAUUCAUCAGACAGAAAGUUUGCAGAAUAUUACAUAAAUAUGAUGAAACUAAUCUCGGUCUGUUUUCUAAAGGAUAUGAAUUAUGAUCAUUGUUGUUUUCGAAAUGGAAACAGCCACUCAAAACCUUGCCCUCUUUUCAUUGUAUGCAAAGAUGAGAGCUGAAGCUUAUACCCUUCCCAUCUUUUGAGGUGACUGCAGAUAUCCCAUCCCUAUAAUCAUUCUCAAUUUUUCAGUGGAACAAGUUGAACUAGUGUGCACCAACUUGCCAACUUGGCUGUCGUUUUGUAAGUAGAAAAUGAUGUAAAGUUUAGUUUUGGGUUGAACAGAUUUAGGUUUUGUGGCCUGGGUAUGUUCCAUGUGGAAUGCAUUACAGACUUGAAUGUUAAUAGAAAUAAUGUGUGGUCUCACAACUGUAUAAUUCUAAGUCCAGUUGGCUACAUGCGGCAUGAAUAUUUAUUUAUCAAUUUUUACUACAAAUUGGUUUGACCCCA
Molecule: long non-coding RNA, 1392 nt
Organism: Ipomoea triloba (trilobed morning glory)
Lineage: Eukaryota; Viridiplantae; Streptophyta; Magnoliopsida; Solanales; Convolvulaceae
Exons: 6
Source: RefSeq, a predicted model, not a curated record